This 465-nucleotide ribosomal RNA is filed under the name Vreelandella stevensii. RNAcentral's name for it is "partial 16S ribosomal RNA". It matches the Rfam family "Bacterial small subunit ribosomal RNA", at positions 338 to 795 of the family's 1533-position model. Lineage: Bacteria; Pseudomonadati; Pseudomonadota; Gammaproteobacteria; Oceanospirillales; Halomonadaceae. The record is from RNAcentral.
CCUACGGGUCGCAGCAGUGGGGAAUAUUGGACAAUGGGCGAAAGCCUGAUCCAGCCAUGCCGCGUGUGUGAAGAAGGCCUUCGGGUUGUAAAGCACUUUCAGUGGGGAAGAAAGCCUUGGGGCUAAUACCCUCGAGGAAGGACAUCACUCACAGAAGAAGCACCGGCUAACUCCGUGCCAGCAGCCGCGGUAAUACGGAGGGUGCGAGCGUUAAUCGGAAUUACUGGGCGUAAAGCGCGCGUAGGCGGUCUGAUAAGCCGGUUGUGAAAGCCCCGGGCUCAACCUGGGAACGGCAUCCGGAACUGUCAGGCUAGAGUGCAGGAGAGGAAGGUAGAAUUCCCGGUGUAGCGGUGAAAUGCGUAGAGAUCGGGAGGAAUACCAGUGGCGAAGGCGGCCUUCUGGACUGACACUGACGCUGAGGUGCGAAAGCGUGGGUAGCAAACAGGAUUAGAUACCCUAGUAGUC